RNAcentral lists this ribosomal RNA (253 nucleotides) under uncultured bacterium. RNAcentral's name for it is "partial 16S ribosomal RNA". It matches the Rfam family "Bacterial small subunit ribosomal RNA", at positions 524 to 776 of the family's 1533-position model. The record is from RNAcentral.
UACGGGGGGGGCAAGCGUUGUUCGGAAUUACUGGGCGUAAAGGGCUCGUAGGCGGCCAACUAAGUCGGAUGUGAAAUCCCCAGGCUCAACCUGGGAACUGCAUCCGAUACUGGAUGGCUUGAAUCCGGGAGAGGGAUGCAGAAUUCCAGGUGUAGCGGUGAAAUGCGUAGAUAUCUGGAGGAACACCGGUGGCGAAGGCGCACAUCUGGCCCGAUACUGACGCUGAAGCGCGAAAGCUAGGGGAGCAAACGGG